AGAGCGAACGCUGGCGGCAGGCCUAACACAUGCAAGUCGAGCGCUCGUAGCAAUACGAGAGCGGCAGACGGGAGAGUAACACGUGGGAACGUACCCUUUGGUUCGGAACAACACAGGGAAACUUGUGCUAAUACCGAAUAAGCCCUUACGGGGAAAGAUUUAUCGCCAAAGGAUCGGCCCGCGUCUGAUUAGCUAGUUGGUGGGGUAAUGGCUCACCAAGGCGACGAUCAGUAGCUGGUCUGAGAGGAUGACCAGCCUCAUUGGGACUGAGACACGGCCCAAACUCCUACGGGAGGCAGCAGUGGGGAAUAUUGGACAAUGGGCGCAAGCCUGAUCCAGCCAUGCCGCGUGGAUGAUGAAGGCCUUAGGUUGUAAAGUCCUUUUAACGGGGAGAUAAUGACGGUACCGUAGAAUAAGCCCGGCUAACUUCGUGCCAGCAGCCGC
RNAcentral lists this ribosomal RNA (444 nucleotides) under uncultured bacterium. RNAcentral describes it as "SSU rRNA". It matches the Rfam family "Bacterial small subunit ribosomal RNA", at positions 26 to 518 of the family's 1533-position model. The record is from RNAcentral.